UGCGGAAGGAUCAUUACCAAGAACCACACAGAAAAGGGAGGCAAAGGGGCCUACAGGGCUAGUAGCUUAUACGUUGUUGAACGUCCUGCCUGGACCCGGAGCCGCCCCCAUCUAAAUCCUCUGCGUACCUGUCCCUUCUUGCUUCCCCCGGCAUCUCGUCGGGGGGAGGUAACAACCAAAACUCUCUGUGAAUCAAACAGCCGUCAGAAUUAUAAAACAAACAAAAGUUAAAACUUUCAACAACGGAUCUCUUGGUUCCCACAUCGAUGAAGAACGCAGCGAAAUGCGAUAAGUAAUGUGAAUUGCAGAAUUCAGUGAAUCAUCGAAUCUUUGAACGCACAUUGCGCCCCCUGGUAUUCCGGGGGGCAUGCCUGUUCGAGCGUCAUAAAAACCUCCUCCCCCUUCGGGUUUUGUUACUAUCGUUGGGGGGUUUUGGCCUAAUGGGAUAGCGAUUGGCAAUUCGUUUCCCAAUGUCCUAAAUAGACGUAGACCCGCCUCCAGAUGCGACAGCACCGAGGCCAUCAACCGUGGAGUUAUGGGAUAUAAUAGGCUUGCAGUAAAAUGCUCACCUCUCUCCACACGCCGAUGGCACGACAGUUGCAGUUGCGGGCGUAAAUUGGAGCCCUUUUCAGGACCCUUGUGGCCUAGCAUCCACCAUACAUAAUUUGACCUCGGAUCAGGUAGGGAUACCCGCUGAACUUAAGCAUAUC
Molecule: ribosomal RNA, 710 nt
Filed under: Morchella sp. Mel-17/19/20/34
Lineage: Eukaryota; Fungi; Ascomycota; Pezizomycetes; Pezizales; Morchellaceae
Description: eukaryotic LSU rRNA
Rfam family: 5.8S ribosomal RNA (bases 232-385)
Source: RNAcentral